GACGAACGCUGGCGGCGUGCUUAACACAUGCAAGUCGAACGGAAAGGCCCUGCUUUUGUGGGGUGCUCGAGUGGCGAACGGGUGAGUAACACGUGAGUAACCUGCCCUUGACUUUGGGAUAACUUCAGGAAACUGGGGCUAAUACCGGAUAUGAGCUCCUGCUGCAUGGUGGGGGUUGGAAAGUUUCGGCGGUUGGGGAUGGACUCGCGGCUUAUCAGCUUGUUGGUGGGGUAGUGGCUUACCAAGGCUUUGACGGGUAGCCGGCCUGAGAGGGUGACAGGCCACAUUGGGACUGGGAUACGGCCCAGACUCCUACGGGAGGCAGCAGUGGGGAAUAUUGCACACUGGGCGGAAGCCUGAUGCAGCAACGCCGCGUGCGGGAUGACGGCCUUCGGGUUGUAAACCGCUUUCGCCUGUGACGAAGCGUGAGUGACGGUAAUGGGUAAAGAAGCACCGGCUAACUACGUG
Molecule: ribosomal RNA, 468 nt
Filed under: uncultured bacterium
Lineage: Bacteria
Description: partial 16S ribosomal RNA
Rfam family: Bacterial small subunit ribosomal RNA
Source: RNAcentral